CUGACAUUAGGCAAACUCAAUGUUGUUUAAUAGCGUCAAAGAAAAUACUGAAUCGUCUCCUCAUAAUCACACCAGAGAGUUUCCAAUUUGUACUGAUAGUAGGGAGCUUCUGGUGAUCUGGGCUAAGGAGUAAGAUAAUGAAAAUAGAAUUUAGAAUGUUUUGCUUAGGAAUAGAUGUCCAAAUGGAUAAGACAAAAAAGGGACCAGAGACAAGAAUAUCAGAGAGGAAAUGGAUGCUUAAUGUGAAUUGAAGGAAUGUCUGAACUAGACUAAAAACCAAAAUUACAAAUGAGAAGUACAGGGAAACCAGGUGUUAAGUGUGUGCUGAGCAGUAGCUAGAAGCUUGGUGUGGCUGUGACUGGGGUACCUGAAAGGGCCUGGGCUCUGCAGAGGUGUGUUGGAAGGUGGUGGGCUAGGAGGUACCCUCUUCCCUGCCCGCCUUCCGUCCUUCCAUGAGGUAAAAGUCUCGCAGUGAAAAACCCGAGGACCCUUACUGCAAGUGUCCUUUGCUCCCAGCUACUGAUACUGGAUUCCACUCGUGAUUCUCCCUUUCUUAGCGCAUUCAUGAUAUAGACAUCAGUCUCUGAGCUGGAAGAGGACAAAGGCAGCGGUCCUGUGAAUUCUAUGCUCUAGCUUGGGUUAAGGGAUUUGGAAUUGCACUUGUUCCAGAGGUAGAAGUGAGAGCAAGAGUCUAACAGCAAACAAACACCCUUCUGACCUCUGAAAUGCUUCAAACUUUUGAUUACAAAGAUUCUGUUGUCACGGACGGGGACACAGCUCGGGGUGUUGGAAACCACACCCACUUCUGCCUGAGGGAAAGACAGGAUAGUAACGAGAGCUCCCUCUUUGCCCACUAGCAGGGCAUUAGCUGGUGCUGAAGACAGUGGCUGCUUGGCGAGCCUGGAUCUCCAAGUGACCCCCUCAGCAACUCCUGAUGAACAGGUAGCAUGAAAAAGAAACCUUUUUGGUUUAUACCAGUGAGAUAUGGGAGUUGUAUAUCAUUGCAGCAUAAUCUAGGCUAUAGAUGAUGCAAUACUGCUACAUUAGGGUCUGAUUUCUAGUCAGGCCCUAUGCCUAGGAUAGCUUACUGCUGGCACACUCUUCAGCCA
RNAcentral lists this long non-coding RNA (1109 nucleotides) under Pongo abelii (Sumatran orangutan). RNAcentral's name for it is "lncRNA (ENSPPYG00000030555.1)". Lineage: Eukaryota; Metazoa; Chordata; Mammalia; Primates; Hominidae. The record is from RNAcentral.